RNAcentral lists this ribosomal RNA (2906 nucleotides) under Escherichia coli. RNAcentral describes it as "23S ribosomal RNA". It matches the Rfam family "Bacterial large subunit ribosomal RNA". The record is from RNAcentral. Lineage: Bacteria; Pseudomonadati; Pseudomonadota; Gammaproteobacteria; Enterobacterales; Enterobacteriaceae.
GGUUAAGCGACUAAGCGUACACGGUGGAUGCCCUGGCAGUCAGAGGCGAUGAAGGACGUGCUAAUCUGCGAUAAGCGUCGGUAAGGUGAUAUGAACCGUUAUAACCGGCGAUUUCCGAAUGGGGAAACCCAGUGUGUUUCGACACACUAUCAUUAACUGAAUCCAUAGGUUAAUGAGGCGAACCGGGGGAACUGAAACAUCUAAGUACCCCGAGGAAAAGAAAUCAACCGAGAUUCCCCCAGUAGCGGCGAGCGAACGGGGAGCAGCCCAGAGCCUGAAUCAGUGUGUGUGUUAGUGGAAGCGUCUGGAAAGGCGCGCGAUACAGGGUGACAGCCCCGUACACAAAAAUGCACAUGCUGUGAGCUCGAUGAGUAGGGCGGGACACGUGGUAUCCUGUCUGAAUAUGGGGGGACCAUCCUCCAAGGCUAAAUACUCCUGACUGACCGAUAGUGAACCAGUACCGUGAGGGAAAGGCGAAAAGAACCCCGGCGAGGGGAGUGAAAAAGAACCUGAAACCGUGUACGUACAAGCAGUGGGAGCACGCUUCGGCGUGUGACUGCGUACCUUUUGUAUAAUGGGUCAGCGACUUAUAUUCUGUAGCAAGGUUAACCGAAUAGGGGAGCCGAAGGGAAACCGAGUCUUAACUGGGCGUUAAGUUGCAGGGUAUAGACCCGAAACCCGGUGAUCUAGCCAUGGGCAGGUUGAAGGUUGGGUAACACUAACUGGAGGACCGAACCGACUAAUGUUGAAAAAUUAGCGGAUGACUUGUGGCUGGGGGUGAAAGGCCAAUCAAACCGGGAGAUAGCUGGUUCUCCCCGAAAGCUAUUUAGGUAGCGCCUCGUGAAUUCAUCUCCGGGGGUAGAGCACUGUUUCGGCAAGGGGGUCAUCCCGACUUACCAACCCGAUGCAAACUGCGAAUACCGGAGAAUGUUAUCACGGGAGACACACGGCGGGUGCUAACGUCCGUCGUGAAGAGGGAAACAACCCAGACCGCCAGCUAAGGUCCCAAAGUCAUGGUUAAGUGGGAAACGAUGUGGGAAGGCCCAGACAGCCAGGAUGUUGGCUUAGAAGCAGCCAUCAUUUAAAGAAAGCGUAAUAGCUCACUGGUCGAGUCGGCCUGCGCGGAAGAUGUAACGGGGCUAAACCAUGCACCGAAGCUGCGGCAGCGACGCUUAUGCGUUGUUGGGUAGGGGAGCGUUCUGUAAGCCUGUGAAGGUGUGCUGUGAGGCAUGCUGGAGGUAUCAGAAGUGCGAAUGCUGACAUAAGUAACGAUAAAGCGGGUGAAAAGCCCGCUCGCCGGAAGACCAAGGGUUCCUGUCCAACGUUAAUCGGGGCAGGGUGAGUCGACCCCUAAGGCGAGGCCGAAAGGCGUAGUCGAUGGGAAACAGGUUAAUAUUCCUGUACUUGGUGUUACUGCGAAGGGGGGACGGAGAAGGCUAUGUUGGCCGGGCGACGGUUGUCCCGGUUUAAGCGUGUAGGCUGGUUUUCCAGGCAAAUCCGGAAAAUCAAGGCUGAGGCGUGAUGACGAGGCACUACGGUGCUGAAGCAACAAAUGCCCUGCUUCCAGGAAAAGCCUCUAAGCAUCAGGUAACAUCAAAUCGUACCCCAAACCGACACAGGUGGUCAGGUAGAGAAUACCAAGGCGCUUGAGAGAACUCGGGUGAAGGAACUAGGCAAAAUGGUGCCGUAACUUCGGGAGAAGGCACGCUGAUAUGUAGGUGAAGUCCCUCGCGGAUGGAGCUGAAAUCAGUCGAAGAUACCAGCUGGCUGCAACUGUUUAUUAAAAACACAGCACUGUGCAAACACGAAAGUGGACGUAUACGGUGUGACGCCUGCCCGGUGCCGGAAGGUUAAUUGAUGGGGUUAGCCGCAAGGCGAAGCUCUUGAUCGAAGCCCCGGUAAACGGCGGCCGUAACUAUAACGGUCCUAAGGUAGCGAAAUUCCUUGUCGGGUAAGUUCCGACCUGCACGAAUGGCGUAAUGAUGGCCAGGCUGUCUCCACCCGAGACUCAGUGAAAUUGAACUCGCUGUGAAGAUGCAGUGUACCCGCGGCAAGACGGAAAGACCCCGUGAACCUUUACUAUAGCUUGACACUGAACAUUGAGCCUUGAUGUGUAGGAUAGGUGGGAGGCUUAGAAGUGUGGACGCCAGUCUGCAUGGAGCCGACCUUGAAAUACCACCCUUUAAUGUUUGAUGUUCUAACGUUGACCCGUAAUCCGGGUUGCGGACAGUGUCUGGUGGGUAGUUUGACUGGGGCGGUCUCCUCCUAAAGAGUAACGGAGGAGCACGAAGGUUGGCUAAUCCUGGUCGGACAUCAGGAGGUUAGUGCAAUGGCAUAAGCCAGCUUGACUGCGAGCGUGACGGCGCGAGCAGGUGCGAAAGCAGGUCAUAGUGAUCCGGUGGUUCUGAAUGGAAGGGCCAUCGCUCAACGGAUAAAAGGUACUCCGGGGAUAACAGGCUGAUACCGCCCAAGAGUUCAUAUCGACGGCGGUGUUUGGCACCUCGAUGUCGGCUCAUCACAUCCUGGGGCUGAAGUAGGUCCCAAGGGUAUGGCUGUUCGCCAUUUAAAGUGGUACGCGAGCUGGGUUUAGAACGUCGUGAGACAGUUCGGUCCCUAUCUGCCGUGGGCGCUGGAGAACUGAGGGGGGCUGCUCCUAGUACGAGAGGACCGGAGUGGACGCAUCACUGGUGUUCGGGUUGUCAUGCCAAUGGCACUGCCCGGUAGCUAAAUGCGGAAGAGAUAAGUGCUGAAAGCAUCUAAGCACGAAACUUGCCCCGAGAUGAGUUCUCCCUGACCCUUUAAGGGUCCUGAAGGAACGUUGAAGACGACGACGUUGAUAGGCCGGGUGUGUAAGCGCAGCGAUGCGUUGAGCUAACCGGUACUAAUGAACCGUGAGGCUUAACCUU